UACGUAGGUGGCAAGCGUUGUCCGGAAUUAUUGGGCGUAAAGCGCGCGCAGGCGGUUUCUUAAGUCUGAUGUGAAUGCCCCCGGCUUAACCGGGGAGGGUCAUUGGAAACUGGGACUUGAGUGCAGAAGAGGAAAGUGGAAUUCCAAGUGUAGCGGUGAAAUGCGUAGAGAUUUGGAGGAACACCAGUGGCGAAGGCGACUUUCUGGUCUGUAACUGACGCUGAGGCGCGAAAGCGUGGGGAGCAAACAGG
Molecule: ribosomal RNA, 251 nt
Filed under: uncultured bacterium
Lineage: Bacteria
Description: partial 16S ribosomal RNA
Rfam family: Bacterial small subunit ribosomal RNA
Source: RNAcentral